This 573-nucleotide long non-coding RNA is filed under the name Vulpes vulpes (red fox). RNAcentral's name for it is "lncRNA (ENSVVUG00000025583.1)". The record is from RNAcentral. Lineage: Eukaryota; Metazoa; Chordata; Mammalia; Carnivora; Canidae.
UAAAAACAUAUGAAACAAUAGGAGAUAUAUCAAGUACUCCAUAAAUAUCUCUUCAAUGAAGGAAAAGUUAGUAAACCUCUUUUUAAAAGUAUUGUGAAGAUUAACUGUGAUAGAUUUGGAAACACUUUAUAAAUUCUUUUAAACUGCUAAUUGAUAUCACUUUUAGGCUAAUUGUGAUCCAGGUUAUGUUUACUACUCUUAGAGGUUAUGAAAAUAGGAAUAGUAUUUGAUCUUGAAAAAUAUAUGUAUUUCUAAAAAAUUCUUAUUUACUGUAUCCCCUCCUAGAUAUCUUCCACAGGUUUUAACAUAUCAGUUUGAAUAAGGCACAGAAUUAAAACAAUGUACUCCUUCAUGGGCCUGUUACGAGGAUUGGAUGUAUCGGCAUAUGUAAAACAGUUAAAGGAUUCCUAAUAUGCUGCAAGUCAGUGCCAUGGUUAAUUGUUAAAGUGAAAGGUCGAUCCUGGAGACCCGGGAUCGAAUCCCACAUCAGGCUCCCGGUGCAUGGAGCCUGCUUCUCCCUCCGCCUGUGUCUCUGCCUCUCUCUCUCUCUCUGUGACUAUCAUAAAUAAAUAA